GGGUGAGAGCCCCGUCGUGCCCG
RNAcentral lists this small nuclear RNA (23 nucleotides) under Arabidopsis thaliana (thale cress). Its description in RNAcentral is "snRNA_09677". The record is from RNAcentral. Lineage: Eukaryota; Viridiplantae; Streptophyta; Magnoliopsida; Brassicales; Brassicaceae.